GCUGUGCAUUCCAGGAUACCAUGCUGCCUCUUGCUCACCAAGGAAAGACAAGAAGAGGAAGAGAGCCGGGUAGCAAUCCUCAAUACCCACACCAGGCUUAAUGACUGUGUUUGGCAAGAUUAAAGCCGGAGGGAUCAACAUUAGUUCACCGUCUCAGGGAAAGGAAGGUCUCCUCCCAUCACUGGAGGUACAGGUCUGAUGGACAGGGGAAAGCAAGCACAAAUCAUCCUGUGAAACUCCGUUGACACUGGAGUUAUGCUCAUUCAGCUUCAGCAGAAGCCUCGAGCACCAUCUCUGCAGUGGGGAAGGUGGCGGGUGUUGCACCAUGCCCCUUCUCUGAGUUCACCUAAUAAAGCAGUUGGCAUGAC
This is a long non-coding RNA of Callorhinus ursinus (northern fur seal), 368 nucleotides long. RefSeq lists it as uncharacterized. The record is from RefSeq and is a predicted model, not a curated record. NCBI's taxonomy places the organism in Eukaryota, Metazoa, Chordata, Mammalia, Carnivora, Otariidae.